GGAAUCAUAUUUUGAGUGUACAGAAGGUCAUAGUCUGCACUACUACAGCAGCUUAACCAGUAAUUAAUGUAGAAUACCUGUCCUUAUCAGUCCAUUCACACUUAGUCCACUCUACUCACAUAGUUGUCAUGAAGUGCCUCAUUAGUAGUCGCCAUAUUGAAUGUAGUUCAUUAUGACUACUGAUACUGUACAGCACAAGUCUAUGUGUAAUUCUCCAUGUCUCUUGAAUGUUAGUUUGCUUUACACGCAUGAAUUGUGGCUUGUCCACCCCACCACGCUAAGCAAGAAUAUUUACAGUGAAAGGAUCUCUAGUGUAAACCAGGAAACUGUUGACAAGUUGGAGGCACAAGUGUGUGGUACUUGGGAAUCUAAUUGUAGGAUAAUAUAUGCUGUACUUUGGUUAGAUUCCUUUUGGCAGUUUUUUUAUUUUCAUUGUAACAGGCAGAACAUUUUAAUAAUUUUAAAAUGAAGAAAAGAACACCUUUCUAAGAUCUUUGCAAAUGCUCAUAUUUGGUGUAAGUAAUUUGCCAGGACAAUAUCUCCAGUUGAUUGAUGUUAUGUUAAUAUUAUGGUUGUACAUUUUCAACUGAUAAUUUGAUGAAUAUGAAACCUGCAGUGCAGGUGUUGAAUUGUAAUUGUAAUUUGUCAAAUGUUGGUCCUUUUUGUAGUUUUAGGGAUUCUCAUGCCGUUCUCUGUUCAAAAUCUUCAUUUUGUGCUCCUUCCAUGCACUGGAAUCUACUUGAACCGUACUACAGAGUUGAAGACGUUCUAUUGUGCCAGUAUUCUGUUGUGGUUGUCUGGUUUAUGUUGUGAGUUUGUGAUUGCAUUUGACCUAUCCUUCUACUUCUGUGUGGUUGUGUGUUUGUGUGGUUGGGGAUUCCAGUGACGGAGCACUCCAUCUGUGUCUUUGUAUUUUGGGUUGGUAUUCCUAGUAAUUGACCACGUAGUAACCCCUUCUGCCUAUACCAAUCUGCUUGGCACUUGUUCCCAAAGACCAUGGUUAUGUAUAAAUUGUGUAGAGCAAUUUAUUACCUCUUUUCAAUUAUAGAGCAGAGAAACUCUGGCUAGGGAUGGACAUUUAUAUAGCCAUAUUGUGGGACCAGAUCUUCUGAAACUGCUGAAUGAAAGCCAAGCUAUUCUUCUGACUUGUCUGUAUGUCAUACAUAACUAUAUUUUUUGCAUGGGCUCCUAUGGCAAUGUUCCAGUCAUUUAACCAAAGUCCUUUCUAAACCCAGAAGUCUGAAUGUUAUUCAUUUACCUUGCUGAAAAUCUUAAUUCAAAGCAUAUAGAAAAUCAUGUGAUUUGAUAGUUUUCCUACCAAAAGAUAAUAUCUAUU
Molecule: long non-coding RNA, 1336 nt
Organism: Esox lucius (northern pike)
Lineage: Eukaryota; Metazoa; Chordata; Actinopteri; Esociformes; Esocidae
Source: Ensembl